AGUAUGACUGGUUCAAUAGAUUUACAGCAUCACAGCUAACAGACGUGACCAGUACACCAAGGCUAUCUAAGUACGACUGGUACAAAAGAUUUACAGCAUCACAGCUAACAGACAUGACUAGUACACCAAUGCUAUCUAAAUAUGACUGGUACAAUAGAUUUACAACAUCACAGCUGACAGACGUGACCAGUACACCAAGGCUAUCUAAGUCCGACUGGUACAAAAGAUUUACAGCAUCACAGCUAACAGACGUGACUAGUACACCUAGGCUACUUAAGUACGACUGGUACAAUAGAUUUACAACACCACAGCUUACAGACGUGACUAGUACACCAAGGAUAUCUAAGUACGACUGGUACAAUAGAUUAACAACAUCACAGCUAAAAGACGUGACCUGUACACCAAGACUAUCUAAGUACGAUUGGUACAAUAGAUUUACAGCAUCACAGCUAACAUACGAGACCAGUACACCAAGGCUAUCUAAGUACGAGUGGUACAAUAAAUUUACAACAUCACAGCUGACAGACGUGACCAGUACACCAAGGCUAUCUAAGUCCGACUGGUACAAAAGAUUUACAGCAUCACAGCUAACAGACGUGACCAGUACACCAUGGCUAUCUAAGUACGACUGGGACAAUAGAUUUACAGCAUCACAGCUAACAGAUGUGACUAGUACACCAAGGCCUUCUAAGUACGACUGGUACAAUAGAUUUACAACAUCACAGCUUACAGACGUGACUAGUACACCAAGGCUAUCUAAGUACGACUGGUACAAUAGAUUUACAGCAUCACAGCUAGCAGACGUGACUAGUACACCAAGGCUAUCUAAGUACGACUGGUACAAUAGAUUUACAGCAUCACAGCUAACAGACGUGACUAGUACACCAAGGCUAUCUAAGUACGACUGGUACAAUAGAUUUACAGCAUCACAGCUAACAGACGUGACCAGUACACCAAGGCUAUCUAAGUACGACUGGUACAAUAGAUUUACAACAUCACAGCUAACAGACGUGACCAGUACACCAAGGCUAUCUAAGUACGACUGGUACAAUAGAUUUACAACAUCACAGCUAACAGACGUGACCAGUACACCAAGGCUAUCUAAGUACGACUGGUACAAUAGAUUUACAACAUCACAGCUAACAGACGUGACCAGUACACCAAGGCUAUCUAAGUACGACUGGUACAAUAGAUUUACAACAUCACAGCUAACAGACGUGACCAGUACACCAAGGCUAUCUAAGUACGACUGGUACAAUAGAUUUACAACAUCACAGCUAACAGACGUGACCAGUACACCAAGGCUAUCUAAGUACGACUGGUACAAUAGAUUUACAACAUCACAGCUAACAGACGUGACCAGUACACCAAGGCUAUCUAAGUACGACUGGUACAAUAGAUUUACAACAUCACAGCUAACAGACGUGACCAGUACACCAAGGCUAUCUAAGUACGACUGGUACAAUAGAUUUACAACAUCACAGCUAACAGACGUGACCAGUACACCAAGGCUAUCUAAGUACGACUGGUACAAUAGAUUUACAACAUCACAGCUAACAGACGUGACCAGUACACCAAGGCUAUCUAAGUACGACUGGUACAAUAGAUUUACAACAUCACAGCUAACAGACGUGACCAGUACACCAAGGCUAUCUAAGUACGACUGGUACAAUAGAUUUACAACAUCACAGCUAACAGACGUGACCAGUACACCAAGGCUAUCUAAAUAUGACUGGUACCCUAAAUGUACUAGAACAGUACCAACACAGAAAUAAGGUGUGAUAGUGUUGAGCUACUAUUUAUAGAAAUAAGGUGUGAUAGUGUUGAGCUACUGUUUAUAGAAAUAAGGUGUUAGUGUUAAAUGGCUAAUACUCAGGUGUGUAUUUCCUUUGGAUUAUUAUUUCUGUGAUUCUGUUAUCAGUAUAUUAUAUUUAUUAUUCUAUUAGAUUUUUUUGCAGUGAAUGUGGAGUGUGUUUAAACACAUUUGGUCACGUCAGCUGUUGCAGGCAUGAAUCAUUUCCUCGUGAACAAAUAUUAAAUGUAGACAAUGGCGGCGUACUCCUCUGGUGAACCUGUUAAGGUAAUGAUGAAUGUGAGCUUGUCUGCUCUGUGGGUGAAACCUUUAGUGGAUGGGAGUCUGAAAGUAGAGAAGUGCUUGAAAUUGAUAUAGCAGGAUAUGCAUGGAUGGAAUCAAUUGUUGCAGCAUUUGACGUUAUAGUUAUAUUAAGUAUUUUACCUCAGCAACACUAAGUAAAGGCUAUAUACAUUGCUCUAAUUCAUUGUCAAAGUAUACAGUCAGCUGCUGUUACCUGUUCAACAACAAGACCUGUAAGUCAAAGCCGGUGUAGAAUAGUAAUAAUAAGGGUGUAGUUGGGAGGGCACAUGGUAUAUUUUACUUAUAUGAAUAAGUUUCAAUCACGUUAUGUGGUAAGAAAUGUCGGCUAACAAUGGUGUUCAUUCAAUCUUGUAUAACUUUAUAUUCCCUACAUUACAUCUGUAGCCUUUUCUUGGUCAUAAACCGCCUUGUGGAUCCACUCCAGAUAUGAAGUGUUAUUUCUUAUCAUUUUCAUCUUGGUCUCAAUGAGAUAUUUUGUGUAAGCGUUUAUAUAAAAUGGUUGGUUUUCCUUAUAAUUCUUAUAUGGUAUUAAUAAAGUUUUGA
RNAcentral lists this unclassified non-coding RNA (2659 nucleotides) under Mizuhopecten yessoensis (Yesso scallop). Its description in RNAcentral is "uncharacterized LOC110447657, transcript variant X1". Lineage: Eukaryota; Metazoa; Mollusca; Bivalvia; Pectinida; Pectinidae. The record is from RNAcentral.